CUGUAAUUUCAGAUUCCUCCAUUUUUGGUCCCUCAUUUUACGUGCCAUGUAUGCAGAUUUUGCUGACGUGGUGGAAUGAGCUACCAAAAGUGGAAGAAUAUGAAAUUACAG
RNAcentral lists this microRNA precursor (111 nucleotides) under Medicago truncatula (barrel medic). Its description in RNAcentral is "MIR5284 microRNA precursor family". It matches the Rfam family "MIR5284 microRNA precursor family". The record is from Rfam by way of RNAcentral. Lineage: Eukaryota; Viridiplantae; Streptophyta; Magnoliopsida; Fabales; Fabaceae.